AGGCUGGUACGAUGUCGAUUUGGAGGUUGUGCCCUUGAGGCGUGGCUUCCGAAGCUAACGCGUUAAAUCGACCGCCUGGGGAGUACGGCCGCAAGGUUAAAACUCAAAUGAAUUGACGGGGGCCCGCACAAGCGGUGGAGCAUGUGGUUUAAUUCGAUGCAACGCGAAGAACCUUACCUACUCUUGACAUCCAGCGAAUCCUGUAGAGAUACGGGAGUGCCUUCGGGAACGCUGAGACAGGUGCUGCAUGGCUGUCGUCAGCUCGUGUUGUGAAAUGUUGGGUUAAGUCCCGCAACGAGCGCAACCCUUAUCCUUUGUUGCCAGCGGUUCGGCCGGGAACUCAAAGGAGACUGCCAGUGAUAAACUGGAGGAAGGUGGGGAUGACGUCAAGUCAUCAUGGCCCUUACGAGUAGGGCUACACACGUGCUACAAUGGCGUAUACAAAGAGAAGCGAACUCGCGAGAGCAAGCGGACCUCAUAAAGUACGUCGUAGUCCGGAUUGGAGUCUGCAACUCGACUCCAUGAAGUCGGAAUCGCUAGUAAUCGUGGAUCAGAAUGCCACGGUGAAUACGUUCCCGGGCCUUGUACACACCGCCCGUCACACCAUGGGAGUGGGUUGCAAAAGAAGUAGGUAGCUUAACCUUCGGGAGGGCGCUUACCACUUUGUGAUUCAUGACUGGGGUGAAGUCGUAAAAAGUAAACCAAAAAAA
RNAcentral lists this ribosomal RNA (710 nucleotides) under Edwardsiella sp. (in: enterobacteria). RNAcentral's name for it is "bacterial SSU rRNA". It matches the Rfam family "Bacterial small subunit ribosomal RNA", at positions 797 to 1508 of the family's 1533-position model. The record is from RNAcentral. Lineage: Bacteria; Pseudomonadati; Pseudomonadota; Gammaproteobacteria; Enterobacterales; Hafniaceae.